This 332-nucleotide unclassified non-coding RNA is filed under the name soil metagenome. RNAcentral describes it as "partial contains 5.8S ribosomal RNA, internal transcribed spacer 2, and large subunit ribosomal RNA". The stretch from base 1 to 120 matches the Rfam family "5.8S ribosomal RNA", at positions 35 to 154 of the family's 154-position model. The record is from RNAcentral.
GAUGAAGAACGCAGCGAAAUGCGAUACGUAAUGUGAAUUGCAGAUUUCAGUGAAUCAUCGAAUCUUUGAACGCACAUUGCGCCCGCUAGUAUUCUGGCGGGCAUGCCUGUUCGAGCGUCAUUUCAACCAUCAAGCCCUAGGCUUGCGUUGGAGCCCUGCGGCUGCCGCAGGCUCCCAAAUCCAGUGGCGGGCUCGUCGUCGUACCGAGUGCAGUAAACAUCCUCGCUCAGGGAACGUGACGGGUUCUUGCCGUGAAACCCCCCACAUAUCAAGGUUGACCUCGGAUCAGGUAGUAAUACCCGCUGAACUUAAGCAUAUCAAUAAGCGGAGGA